UCACAUUCUUUUACACACAUGCACGCUCAUGCACACACACACACACACACACACACACACACACACGACUUGAUCUCCUUUGUUAGGACAGAGGAUUGAGAACUAGAUGCAUACUGCUUCCUGUAAAGUCUCUGAGCCACAGUUUCAAGCCCCAGGUCUGGCUUCCAGGCAUGUAGCCAGGCUAGUGGGAAGGUGGCAUGGCUGGGAUAAUCUCCUUUUCUCAUAAUUCUGAGUCAACACCUGUUAGACGGACAGCAUCAUGCCAGCUUCUGAGCAAACAGAAACCUGGUCUGACAUGGGUGCAUUCUUGUGGACAAUCCCCCCUGUCUGAUGUCACCACUUAAGAAGUAUCUGUGGAGCUUAUCCUGGCUUUAGUAGCCCUUCAGUUAAGACUAACUGUGUAGUUUUCAAGGGGUGUCACACCCUGUCUGGGUUCAGUCUCCCCACUAUCCAAGGAGACAUUUAUACUAAUCCAAUGGCACUGAAGGUCCCCAGUCUGUGUGCCUCCCUGUCUUAGGGUGAAUAGUGCGUAUUGUAGGGAUGGGGCAUCUCUCCCUGCCCACCUCUAGGCCUUUCAUGCUUUUCAUCCUUCUGAUGACCCUUGCACCCUAAAAAUGCUGAGAACAUGAGUGUCUGUCUCAGGGAGACAGACUAAUGACCAGGAUGUCAGGCUGGUCCUUGCGGCCAAGGCUGGUGAAUUUGUAGCGCUGGCGCCCCAUGCCUGAUACAGUGCCUGGCACUGGGAACAGCUGAAGGCUUUAUUCAGCUAUAGUCAGAGAUGAAUGUUUCUACUGAAGCUAUUUGCCUAAAACACAUUCAGAUAAACCCAAGAGAACCAUGGCUACGUGUGCUGGGGUUUCCUGUUGGUGAGGAGGUAGAAGACCCUGCUGCUCUGUGCACCUCCAUCUCCAGCCACGUGCUCUUGGAACCCAGACACCAUGCAUGCUGUGGGGAAGCCAAGGCACAUGAAGAGGCCACAUGUGAGCGUGCCCUCUGUCAGCCGCAGUUGAGGCCUGAUGACGACCAACAAUGACCACUAGAUGUGUGGAUGAGAAACCUUUGAGAUGACUCCAUCUGACUUUAUCAAUCGCUGUGGACAAAACCCUGAGUAAGAGCUACCCAACUAAACCCCGUUCAACCCUGAGAUUCAUGAGAAAGGUAAACAACUGGAAUUGUUCAAGGCCAUUGUUUGGGUGUGGCUUGUAGAUAAUGGGAACAGUGUUAGAUGAAACAGCUUUAUACCCAGUGUCUCACACGAUGCCUGGAACAUAGUCGAUAUGCCAUAAUACAUAGCUCUUCUGGUGCUUUAUCUGGUGCCCUGGGUUCGGGGCUGUGCCCAGAGGGCUGGUGUGCGCACACUCAUGGGAAUCCCUGACUGACACCUGGUGUCCUGAAGAUGCUGUGGUAUAGGAAGGAGCAGGAUAGAGAAGGUGGGGGAGAGAAUCAAAGAAAACACACACAGGAGCUAGCUCUGGCUGGCAAUCCACAGGCAUGGUGCUAGGCACUCUACACCACUGACCUCAUAGCCAGGCCCUAAGAUGGGCCUCGCCCCAUUCUGCAGCUGAGAAAACUGAGGCUGGGAUAUGUGCUUUGGGGUCCAUUCCACGACCCUGGAGCCCAACAGCAUGGGCGCCGGACAGUGAGCAAUCUGCCUGUGCCCUCCCCCCACCGCCCCUCCUUUCUACCCACUCCCCCACCAUGCGCUCCUCUUACUCUCAGCCAAUCAAUAAACAAGUCAUUACCAUGGCCCCCAAGGUGCUUAUCAGCACUGCAGUGCCAGGAAGUGCUUCCCAGUGUCUCGCAUCUGUCUCUGCUGCUGAAAUUUCCUUAGUUUUUUGGAGACCAGGAAUGUGGGCUUGCUUUCCUCCUUUAUUUAAUAAAGCUCCAGGGACCUAAUAAUUCUUGCUAAGUUCCUCGCUGCUCCCCGCCUGCUCUCAGCAACC
Molecule: long non-coding RNA, 1943 nt
Organism: Acinonyx jubatus (cheetah)
Lineage: Eukaryota; Metazoa; Chordata; Mammalia; Carnivora; Felidae
Exons: 3
Source: RefSeq, a predicted model, not a curated record